GUAGCUUGCUAUAGAGAUAAUUAGUGGCAGACGGGUGAGUAAUGCAUAGGAAUCUACCUAGUAGUAUAGGAUAGCCACUAGAAAUGGUGGGUAAUACUGUAUAAUCCCUGCGGGGGAAAGAUUUAUCGCUACAUGAUGAGCCUAUGUUAGAUUAGCUAGUUGGUAGGGUAAAGGCCUACCAAGGCGAUGAUCUAUAGCUGGUCUGAGAGGAUGAUCAGCCACACUGGAACUGAGAUACGGUCCAGACUCCUACGGGAGGCAGCAGUGGGGAAUAUUGGACAAUGGGCGCAAGCCUGAUCCAGCUAUGCCGCGUGAGUGAGGAAGGCCUUAGGGUUGUAAAACUCUUUCAGUGGGGAAGAUAAUGACGGUACCCACAGAAGAAGUCCCGGCAAACUCCGUGCCAGCAGCCGCGGUAAUACGGAGGGGGCAAGCGUUGUUCGGAAUUAUUGGGCGUAAAGGGCAUGUAGGCGGUUCGGUAAGUUAAAGGUGAAAUGCCAGGGCUUAACCCUGGAGCUGCUUUUAAUACUGCCAGACUUGAGUCCGGAAGAGGAUAGCGGAAUUCCUAGUGUAGAGGUGAAAUUCGUAGAUAUUAGGAGGAACACCAGUGGCGAAGGCGGCUAUCUGGUCCGGAACUGACGCUGAGGUGCGAAAGCGUGGGGAGCAAACAGGAUUAGAUAC
This 678-nucleotide ribosomal RNA is filed under the name uncultured Anaplasma sp. Its description in RNAcentral is "bacterial SSU rRNA". It matches the Rfam family "Bacterial small subunit ribosomal RNA", at positions 75 to 785 of the family's 1533-position model. Lineage: Bacteria; Pseudomonadati; Pseudomonadota; Alphaproteobacteria; Rickettsiales; Anaplasmataceae. The record is from RNAcentral.